GGAUCCAGACUUUGAUUCUGGCUCAGAACGAACGCUGGCGGCAGGCCUAACACAUGCAAGUCGAGCGCGCCCUUCGGGGUGAGCGGCGGACGGGUUAGUAACGCGUGGGAAUAUACCCGACACUAAGGAAUAGCCUCUGGAAACGGAGAGUAAUACCUUAUACGCCCUUCGGGGGAAAGAUUUAUCGGUGACGGAUUAGCCCGCGUUAGAUUAGAUAGUUGGUGGGGUAAUGGCCUACCAAGUCUACGAUCUAUAGCUGGUUUUAGAGGAUGAUCAGCAACACUGGGACUGAGACACGGCCCAGACUCCUACGGGAGGCAGCAGUGGGGAAUCCUGGACAAUGGGCGCAAGCCUGAUCCAGCCAUGCCGCGUGAGUGAUGAAGGCCUUAGGGUCGUAAAGCUCUUUCGCCAGAGAUGAUAAUGACAGUAUCUGGUAAAGAAGCCCCGGCUAACUCCGUGCCAGCAGCCGCGGUAAU
RNAcentral lists this ribosomal RNA (476 nucleotides) under uncultured bacterium. RNAcentral's name for it is "bacterial SSU rRNA". It matches the Rfam family "Bacterial small subunit ribosomal RNA", at positions 1 to 524 of the family's 1533-position model. The record is from RNAcentral.